AUGGGCUUCUAUUUGCACAGACACUACAUCCACUCCAUGUUUCUAGUCUGGGUUGUUUGUUGCACUUUUUUUGCAAAACUACUCCCUUGUGUCUAUUUGCACACAUCCAGGCAGAAGUUGGUUUUGCUACUGGUCUACUUGCAUAUAGUGGUGUUUAAUUACACAGAUAUCAGAUUAUUGUUGCUACUCCCUCCAAUUAUGGAGAAGAUCGGUGGUAGAUCCAAAGGCAAAGGGGAAGGGAAAGUGAAGAAGGGAGGAUCUGGAGCCAGAAGGGAACUUACCGUGAUUGAUGAUGCCUGCUCUGUAGGUUUUUGGAUCUAG
Molecule: ribosomal RNA, 321 nt
Filed under: Triticum aestivum (bread wheat)
Lineage: Eukaryota; Viridiplantae; Streptophyta; Magnoliopsida; Poales; Poaceae
Description: partial small subunit ribosomal RNA
Source: RNAcentral